RNA transcript from Propithecus coquereli (Coquerel's sifaka), 632 nucleotides. It is a transcript of the gene named ras-related protein Rap-1b pseudogene, with no coding region annotated. Lineage: Eukaryota; Metazoa; Chordata; Mammalia; Primates; Indriidae. The transcript has a single exon. The record is from RefSeq and is a predicted model, not a curated record.
GACAGUGUGAGAGGUACUCAGUUUGAUGGGUUUGCAUCAUGCGUGAGUAUAAGCUAGUCGUUCUUGGCUCAGGAGGUGUUGGAAAGUCUGCUCUGACUGUACAAUUUGUUCGAGGAAUUUUUGUUGAAAAUAUGAUCCUACGAUAGAAGAUUCUUAUAGAAAGCAAGUUGAAGUAGAUGCACAACAGUGUAUGCUUGAAAUCUUGGAUACUGUAGGAAUGGAACGAUUUACAGCAAUGAGGGAUUUAUACGUGAAAAACAGGCAAGGCUUUGCAUUAGUUUAUUCAAUCACAGCACAGUCCACAUUUAAUGACUUGCAAGAUCUGAGAGAACAGAUUCUUCCAGUUAAAGACACUGAUGAUGUUCCAAUGAUUCUGGUCGGUAAUAAGUGUGACUUAGAAGAUGAAAGAGUUGUAGGAAAGGAACAAGGUGAAAAUCUAGCAAGACAAUGGAAUAACUGUGCAUUCUUAGAAUCUUCUGCAAAAUCAAAAAUAAAUGUUAAUGAGAUCUUUUAUGACCUAGUGUGGCAAAUUAACAGAAAAACUGCAGUGCCUGGGAAGCCUCGUAAAAUGUCAUCAUGUCAGCUACUUUAAUAUACAAAAUGCAUCGUAGCUCUGAGCUAGGUCUGAAGAA